AGCACAUCCAUUAUAUACUGACCAUCUAACUAACUACCUGCUUGAUCGGUCUAAAAACUUCCAGUUUAUCUAUAUUCCAGUUUAUCUAUAUUAUACACGAAAGUGUCCUGAGAUAUUUUCCAACAUAUUCCGUCAUAUAUGCUCCAUUUGAAGUUUGAACUUCACGGUACAUACGGUGCCCGCUCUUUUAGGUCUCGUGAUACGCAAGGCGAGGGACAUGCUUGUUUAGGUCCUUCUCUCCCUCUCUCUCUCUCUCUCUCGUGCGCACAUACACAUAUAAGCGGUACGUUAAUAUCAGAAAACCUUGUAAUAAAGAGAGUACGAUUUAGUUUAGUUCCCAGAUUCAAAUAUUACAAAAACGCUAGCUAUGGGCCUUGCAAAGUGGCAGACAUGCACCGUUCAACACCCAAUCAAGCCAUAUCCUACCACCCUUCUGGAGUCCAAGUGCACCCGAGGACUUUCCUUGCAAAAAUGCUUCGCAUAUGCAUUUAAUAUGAGAAAUACCUCACUUAGGACACAAAAUGACAGCAAAGCCCAUUGCCAUCAGUUAACCCUUACUGGAUUAGCCUUUUAUAAAUUAAAAUUUUAUAUUUUGGUAAUGUUAUAUGCUACAAAAAGCCUUCGUACGAGUUUCCACGUCCUCUCAGAGCUUCCCGGUUGCAUGCUGUUAGAUAGAGUUCGGAUCCUUGCAGGUCCAUUCAGGAACUAGAAAGAUCCAGUCCCAGUCAUAGAUCCCAGCCAACUUCAAUUUUACUCUUUCCAUCCUCUUAACGGAUCUUAUCUCAAAUCUACCUACUCCAGAUUGGCUGAUUGUUCUCUAUUUAAUGUCGACCCUGAAAGUGCUCCCUCUUGAAAAGCUGGUAUCCUGACCAAUCAAUUGAAUAAAUAGUCAAAAAAAAAUCAGGUUGCCACAGUUUAGGUAUUGCAGUUGAAGUUUGGAUCCUGUAUCAGGAUACAGUUUGCUCCCAUAGAUGAUUCUUUGCAUAAUUUUAUGAUGCCAUCCUGCAAUAAAUUCAGAUCAGUAAAGUCCACGAGAAACUUCACUCACAAACUUCAUCAAAAGAACAUUAUAGGCACAUGCUCUAUGGUUAUAGAUUUGGAAAUGGUACAAUAUCUAAUCCCACUAACCCUCUUGAUUAGCCCAACUAAUUUAUGUGCAAGUCAUAUAAUGGAAAACUCUCUCUCUCUCUCUCUCUCAUCUAGUGCAUCACACUACUAUCCACUUCCCAAAGUAAUUGACAAAGCCAAUAUAGAAAUUCUAAUGCAGCCAGUUGACGGUUUUACAGCAGGCAAACGGUCUCCAAAAUGGUUUGCUUAGCUUUUCUAAACUAUUUAGCCAACAGAUCUUACAUUCAACAAACUAAAGUUAGAUAAAGGAUGCUGUUCAUGAUUAUUUAUUACUUGUCUACGUCAUUGAAUGUACAGGAGUUGAUUUAAGCUGAAGAUAAUCAUUCUAACAUACAGAAUACGUAUGAUUAAGGAAUAAUGACCUUUAAUUUACGUACCAACCACAGAAAUAUGUACUAGACUACCAGUCAUUUCCAGAACUAAAAACACCUCAUGUGUAGAAUUCCAAGCACAAUUCCAAUGUUGUAAAACCAUUCUAUGAGCUUCAGCAACAUCUAUGCAUAUGAUUUGGCAUAUCUGCUCAGCUUUAUCUUAGAGUCAUGAAACAAUUACAUAUUCUUUGUGGUGAUAUGCAGUCCAUCUUAUCACGAAACAUGACCAACCUUGUAUCUCUUGGAACCUUACUGCUGUGUAUUACACCAAAAUUUAUUAUAUGCAGGGUAGCAAUCAAUAUUGCUUGGAAUUUAAAUUCUUAACAAAUCCAAAAACUUGGCUCUCCCAGUAAUAUAGUUUAUACUGGCGAAAAAUAUCUUUUUUACAUACUGACAGGGAGAUAUACUUGGUUAAUAGAUUAUGAAUAGAUAGAUAUGA
Molecule: long non-coding RNA, 1938 nt
Filed under: Elaeis guineensis (African oil palm)
Lineage: Eukaryota; Viridiplantae; Streptophyta; Magnoliopsida; Arecales; Arecaceae
Description: long non-coding RNA (EGUI_LNC073316)
Source: RNAcentral